CCCUUAGAUGUUCUGGGCUGCACGCGUGUUACAAUCGGGAGUACAACAAGAUUGCAAAUCCUAGUGGAUGAGUGGUUCUUCGAAAUUUUCUGAAGACUGGGAUAGUUGAUUGAAAUUAUUCAGCUCAAACGAGGAAUUCCUUGUAAUUGUAAUUCAUUAUAUUGUAAUGAAUACGUCCCUGCCCUUUGUACACACCGCCCGUCGCUCCUACCGAUUGAACGAUCCGGUGAAUUAUUUGGAGUAGCUCUGGAAGUUGCAGAACUUCCUAUGUCACGAAAUUUUGUAAACCUUAUCGUUUAGAGGAAGGAAAAGUCGUAACA
This 320-nucleotide ribosomal RNA is filed under the name uncultured eukaryote. RNAcentral describes it as "partial 18S ribosomal RNA". It matches the Rfam family "Eukaryotic small subunit ribosomal RNA", at positions 1470 to 1796 of the family's 1831-position model. The record is from RNAcentral.